This 442-nucleotide ribosomal RNA is filed under the name uncultured bacterium. RNAcentral's name for it is "partial 16S ribosomal RNA". It matches the Rfam family "Bacterial small subunit ribosomal RNA", at positions 338 to 795 of the family's 1533-position model. The record is from RNAcentral.
CCUACGGGCGACAGCAGUAGGGAAUCUUUCACAAUGGGCGAAAGCCUGAUGGAGCAACGCCGCGUGCAGGAUGAAGGCCUUCGGGUUGUAAACUGCUUUUAUAAGCGAGAAAUAUGAUGGUAACUUAUGAAUAAGGAUCGGCUAACUACGUGCCAGCAGCCGCGGUCAUACGUAGGAUCCGAGCAUUAUCCGGAGUGACUGGGUGUAAAGAGUUGCGUAGGUGGCAUAAUAAGUAGCUAGUGAAAUCUGGUGGCUCAACCAUUCAGACUAUUAGCUAAACUGUUAAGCUCGAGACCGUUAGGGGUAACUGGAAUUUCUAGUGUAGGAGUGAAAUCCGUAGAUAUUAGAAGGAACACCGAUAGCGUAGGCAGGUUGCUGGGACGGUUCUGACACUAAGGCACGAAAGCGUAGGGAGCAAACGGGAUUAGAUACCCGAGUAGUC